Molecule: transfer RNA, 77 nt
Filed under: Candidatus Saccharimonadota bacterium
Lineage: Bacteria; Candidatus Saccharimonadota
Description: tRNA-Met
Rfam family: tRNA
About the family: Transfer RNA (tRNA) molecules are approximately 80 nucleotides in length. Their secondary structure includes four short double-helical elements and three loops (D, anti-codon, and T loops).
Source: RNAcentral
GGCACCGUAGCUCAGCUGGUUAGAGCGCAGGACUCAUAAGCCUGAGGUCGGUGGUUCGGGCCCACCCGGUGCUACCA